CACCUCUCAAGCCUGGCUUGCUGUUGGACUCUAGGUUUGGCUUUAGCUAUGACCAGUCUUAAAGAUAAUGACGGCGUCUGUGAGGACCCCUGUACACUGAGCUUUUUUAAGCACGUACUAGGCGGGAGUCCAGGCCCGGUCUUACCCAUUUUACUUAAAAGGUUGACCUCGGAUCAGGUAGGAAUACCCGCUGAACUUAA
This 200-nucleotide unclassified non-coding RNA is filed under the name soil metagenome. RNAcentral describes it as "partial contains internal transcribed spacer 2 and large subunit ribosomal RNA". The record is from RNAcentral.